RNAcentral lists this ribosomal RNA (547 nucleotides) under uncultured bacterium. RNAcentral's name for it is "bacterial SSU rRNA". It matches the Rfam family "Bacterial small subunit ribosomal RNA", at positions 777 to 1322 of the family's 1533-position model. The record is from RNAcentral.
AAUAGAUACCCCGGUAGUCCACCCCGUAAACGUUGGGAACUAGUUGUGGGGUCCUUUCCACGGAUUCCGUGACGCAGCUAACGCAUUAAGUUCCCCGCCUGGGGAGUACGGCCGCAAGGCUAAAACUCAAAGGAAUUGACGGGGACCCGCACAAGCGGCGGAGCAUGCGGAUUAAUUCGAUGCAACGCGAAGAACCUUACCAAGGCUUGACAUACACCAGAACACCCUAGAAAUAGGGGACUCUUUGGACACUGGUGAACAGGUGGUGCAUGGUUGUCGUCAGCUCGUGUCGUGAGAUGUUGGGUUAAGUCCCGCAACGAGCGCAACCCUCGUUCUAUGUUGCCAGCACGUAAUGGUGGGAACUCAUGGGAUACUGCCGGGGUCAACUCGGAGGAAGGUGGGGAUGACGUCAAAUCAUCAUGCCCCUUAUGUCUUGGGCUUCACGCAUGCUACAAUGGCCGGUACAAAGGGCUGCAAUACCGUGAGGUGGAGCGAAUCCCAAAAAGCCGGUCCCAGUUCGGAUUGAGGUCUGCAACUCGACCCCAUG